Molecule: ribosomal RNA, 252 nt
Filed under: uncultured bacterium
Lineage: Bacteria
Description: partial 16S ribosomal RNA
Rfam family: Bacterial small subunit ribosomal RNA
Source: RNAcentral
UACGUAGGUCCCGAGCGUUGUCCGGAUUUAUUGGGCGUAAAGCGAGCGCAGGUGGUUUAUUAAGUCUGGCGUAAAAGGCAGUGGCUCAACCAUUGUAUGCAUUGGAAACUGGUAGACUUGAGUGCAGGAGAGGAGAGUGGAAUUCCAUGUGUAGCGGUGAAAUGCGUAGAUAUAUGGAGGAACACCGGUGGCGAAAGCGGCUCUCUGGCCUGUAACUGACACUGAGGCUCGGAAGCGUGGGGAGCAAACAGG